UGAGAGCCAGUUCCUACAGGCCUGCA
RNAcentral lists this non-coding RNA (26 nucleotides) under Mus musculus (house mouse). The record is from RNAcentral. Lineage: Eukaryota; Metazoa; Chordata; Mammalia; Rodentia; Muridae.